This 292-nucleotide ribosomal RNA is filed under the name uncultured bacterium. RNAcentral describes it as "partial 16S ribosomal RNA". It matches the Rfam family "Bacterial small subunit ribosomal RNA", at positions 505 to 796 of the family's 1533-position model. The record is from RNAcentral.
GUGCCAGCAGCCGCGGUAAGACGAACCGUCCAAACGUUAUUCGGUAUCACUGGGCUUAAAGCGUGCGUAGGCGGCCUAGUAGGUGAGGUGUGAAAUCCCACGGCUCAACCGUGGAACUGCGCUUCAAACCACUAGGCUCGAGGAUGGCAGGGGUGAUGGGAACUGAUGGUGGAGCGGUGAAAUGCGUUGAUAUCAUCAGGAACACCGGUGGCGAAGGCGCAUCACUGGGCCAUUUCUGACGCUGAGGCACGAAAGCUAGGGUAGCGAACGGGAUUAGAUACCCUCGUAGUCC